AAGUAAACAAAAAUAAUCAUAUUAAAAGUACAAUAUGAUUGUACAUGUAUUCUAGCAUAAUAUUGAUUGCUUCAAGAGAAAUAAUUUUUAUAAACAUCGGCUUGAAGAGGAAUAUUUCCUGUAAACAUCUAUAAAUGUCUCAUUAGCAAAUCAUUGAAGUACUCUUCCUCGUUCUGUUUGUAACAUCUGCCAAUUAAAAAUAAGUAGUAUAGAAGUGACUGCAAAAAGAUAAACAUCAAACUACUCAAGUAGGACAACAAUAGAACAAACCAAUCAUCCUCAAUUUCAUAAUGUCGAAGCUUAAUUUGAACACUAAAUUGACUCCAAAUCAUCUUUAUUUUUUCGCGUUUUGGAGAAUAAUAUUAGACAAAGGUUAAUUAUACAUGCAAUAUUCAUAAGAACUAUAAAAUAUGAAGAAUGUAAUUUUUUAAAGCUUUAUAGAACAAAAAGAUUGAUCUCGAGACACAUUAUCUAAUCAUGAAUGAAAAAUCAGAACUUUUAAUUCUCGCUGAUUCUCCAAGAAAUUCUUUCAAUUCAAUGUAAAUCUAAUAACAUACAUUGAGAUUCCUUUCAAUCCAAUUGACUCCUUAAGACAAUAACAAAACUGUAUUUUAUGCAAAUUGAUAUAUAAUAUUUAAAGUAUGAUAUAAUAUUUAAAAAAUAAAUAUGGAUUAAAUUAAAAUUAAAAGUAAAUGCAAAACAGAAAAUGAAUGAUUGUAUGUAAUGUGAAGAAAUAAAAAGAAAGUAGACUAAAACGGAAAGAAAGAGUUCUUUCAGGUUUGGUUUCUAUUUUUUUUACCCUAUUGCUGAUCAACUUCUUCUCCUCUCUAUGAUUUUCCAUUCUUCACAUCCUCUUUCCAUUAGAAAUUACUCUUUCGGUUAUUUUCUUUCACUAGAUUUUAAAAAGGUAAAAAAAAACUUUCCGCAAAGCAAAAAAAAAAAAGACCAAUGAUGAGAGGGAAUUGACCUUUUGAUUAUGUGUUCGUGUCCCAUUAGUUCUUAUUUGAUUUUAUUUUUAGUUAAUGUGGUGAACCUAUAAACUUUAAAUGCUAUAUUCCCUGUGAUGGUAAUGUGAUUGUUAUUUUAUUACACAUUAUCUUUUUCUUUAUUUUUCUUGUGAUUACAUUUAGCAGCCUAAUGUUGUUUUUCAUCUCUUAUUCUUUAUACAUUCUUUUUGGCUGAUACAUAUCUAUUUGAAACUAUGUAUUCUCAUAUUUUAAAGAUGCAAAUUUUUGUAGCAACAGGUUGAAUAUUAUAAUAGCAUAAACAAUUCUGAAAUAAAAGAAGAUGAAAAUUUAAAGAGAAGAGAAGUUGUUGAUAGUUAAUGCGGUUGAAACCUGUAGCCGUUGGGAUUGAACAAUCUUCCAUCACAAAAAAAUUUGCUUUAAAAGGCUUCCCCUUUUGCCUUCCAACCGCAACUUGAUGCUAACAAAUUGCUCUUAAAAUUUGCUAUUCGUUCUUCUGCACAAAGGAAAAAAAAUGCACUUAAUCCUUUAGUAUAUGUCAGCCAAAUUAAGAAGAAUCAAGGAGAAAUCUUCUCCUUGUCUUUUUGGUAAAUAUUGGUUUUACUGCAGUAUUAAUUGCAUGAUGAUGUUCUAGUGUAAAAACUUUUCUUGACUUUACCGGUGAAAAAAAGGAAAUUUUAGAAAGAGAACUCAAAUAGAAUCUAUAUAGAAUGACAUUUC
RNAcentral lists this long non-coding RNA (1685 nucleotides) under Capsicum annuum. RNAcentral describes it as "long non-coding RNA (CANN_LNC000667)". Lineage: Eukaryota; Viridiplantae; Streptophyta; Magnoliopsida; Solanales; Solanaceae. The record is from RNAcentral.